This 1501-nucleotide ribosomal RNA is filed under the name uncultured bacterium. RNAcentral's name for it is "bacterial SSU rRNA". It matches the Rfam family "Bacterial small subunit ribosomal RNA". The record is from RNAcentral.
AGAGUUUGAUCAUGGCUCAGGACGAACGCUGGCGGCAUGCCUAACACAUGCAAGUCGAACGGAGCUUAAGAGGCUUGCCUUUUAAGCUUAGUGGCGGACGGGUGAGUAACGCGUGAGCAACCUGCCUCUCAGUGGGGAAUAAUGUACUGAAAAGGACACUAAUACCGCAUGAUGUAUUUGAGUCGCAUGAUUUGAAUACCAAAGAUUUAUCGCUGAGAGAUGGGCUCGCGUCCGAUUAGUUUGUUGGUGAGGUAACGGCUCACCAAGGCGACGAUCGGUAGCCGGACUGAGAGGUUGAACGGCCACAUUGGGACUGAGACACGGCCCAGACUCCUACGGGAGGCAGCAGUGGGGGAUAUUGCGCAAUGGGGGAAACCCUGACGCAGCAAUGCCGCGUGGAGGAUUGAAGGUCUUCGGAUUGUAAACUCCUUUUGUCAGGGAAGAUAAUGACGGUACCUGACGAAUAAGCUCCGGCUAACUACGUGCCAGCAGCCGCGGUAAUACGUAGGGAGCGAGCGUUGUCCGGAUUUACUGGGUGUAAAGGGUGCGUAGGCGGCUUUUCAAGUCAGCUGUGAAAUCUGUGGGCUCAACCCACAAAUUGCAGUUGAAACUGUAAAGCUUGAGUGAAGUAGAGGUAGGCGGAAUUCCCAGUGUAGCGGUGAAAUGCGUAGAGAUUGGGAGGAACACCAGUGGCGAAGGCGGCCUACUGGGCUUUAACUGACGCUGAGGCACGAAAGCAUGGGUAGCAAACAGGAUUAGAUACCCUGGUAGUCCAUGCCGUAAACGAUGAUUACUAGGUGUGGGGGGAUUGACCCCUUCCGUGCCGCAGUUAACACAAUAAGUAAUCCACCUGGGGAGUACGGCCGCAAGGUUGAAACUCAAAGGAAUUGACGGGGGCCCGCACAAGCAGUGGAGUAUGUGGUUUAAUUCGAAGCAACGCGAAGAACCUUACCAGGUCUUGACAUCAAGUGACGUAUCCAGAGAUGGAUAUUCCCUACGGGGCACGAAGACAGGUGGUGCAUGGUUGUCGUCAGCUCGUGUCGUGAGAUGUUGGGUUAAGUCCCGCAACGAGCGCAACCCUUGCUGUUAGUUGCUACGCAAGAGCACUCUAACAGGACUGCCGUUGAUAAAACGGAGGAAGGUGGGGACGACGUCAAAUCAUCAUGCCCCUUAUGACCUGGGCUACACACGUACUACAAUGGCCGUAAACAAAGGGAAGCAAAGGAGCGAUCCGGAGCAAACCCCCAAAAACGGUCCCAGUUCAGAUUGUAGGCUGCAACCCGCCUACAUGAAGUUGGAAUUGCUAGUAAUCGCAGAUCAGCAUGCUGCGGUGAAUACGUUCCCGGGCCUUGUACACACCGCCCGUCACACCAUGGGAGCCGGUAAUACCCGAAGUCAGUAGCCUGACCGCAAGGAGGGCGCUGCCGAAGGUAGGAUUGGCGACUGGGGUGAAGUCGUAACAAGGUAGCCGUAUCGGAAGGUGCGGCUGGAUCACCUCCUU